UAAGGAAUUCCUAAUUUCCAUUACAGAUCCUCCUCCAGCCUGAAGCUGAAAAAGCAAGUGCAUCUGAGUGAAGUGUGGACCGGCACCUGCCUCAGCGAAGUGACAGAGAAAAAGAUGAGUCCCGAGAAUUCAUUUGUCAUUGGCUGGCCUACCACCAACUAUGUUGUCACCUUCAGCUCAGCUGAUGUGAAGGAACGAUGGCUGUCAGCGUUACUGUGGCAUAUCAGUGAGGUAAAACAGAAUGAAUGCCUGAAGAAUCUGACCCUUCAGAUCUUUGUGCUGGAUGACGACAACUGUUCUUCUACUACUGCAGUCAAUGUGUCCAAUGUGGAAACUGCAGAGAGUGUGAUGAAGAAGACCCUUCUACAGCUUGGGCUCCCUGUAAGUGGCAGUUGCCAGAUCUUAGCUAAGGACACUGACAAUAUCUGGUUUACAGGACAAUGUGGAUGUCAAAAAGUCUAGA
RNAcentral lists this long non-coding RNA (463 nucleotides) under Lepidothrix coronata (blue-crowned manakin). RNAcentral describes it as "lncRNA (ENSLCOG00000004425.1)". Lineage: Eukaryota; Metazoa; Chordata; Aves; Passeriformes; Pipridae. The record is from RNAcentral.